UGGGGGAUUCCCAUGGUGGUGGAACUGGUUAGAACGUCAGCUCCCUCCGGCAAAUCCUCCUGAAAGUCAAGCCACCAAGAGCAUCCUACUAACACCCACAAGACCGACUCCAGAUCUCAGGCCAAGUCCUCGACCCCAAGCAAGCAACUACAGGCAACAGAGUUUCGGGUUUGACAAUCUUGAGUCACUCACACCAAAGUCCUCAAAAUCAGCAGUACCUGCAAGAGCAAAGACCCCUCCAAAUAGAGUGCCACAAGCGAACGGCUCAAAUCUAUCAAGAUAUCCAAAGCCGAGAGCUAGUGCAGCUGAUUCUACCUUUGAUGUGCCACUGAGAGAUGAUGAUAGCCUCACCAGUUGCCCGCCAUUUUCAGUUCCAAACUACAUGACU
Molecule: long non-coding RNA, 388 nt
Filed under: Vitis vinifera (wine grape)
Lineage: Eukaryota; Viridiplantae; Streptophyta; Magnoliopsida; Vitales; Vitaceae
Description: long non-coding RNA (VVIN_LNC001630)
Source: RNAcentral